Long non-coding RNA from Mus musculus (house mouse), 1405 nucleotides. RefSeq annotates it as RIKEN cDNA A230056P14 gene. The transcript is spliced from 6 exons. The record is from RefSeq and is marked predicted. NCBI's taxonomy places the organism in Eukaryota, Metazoa, Chordata, Mammalia, Rodentia, Muridae.
UCUUCGCCCCGCCCUGACAGCGAGCCGGAGGAGCCGUACCUUCUAAGGUCAUCUUUGCUCACCUACUCAUCAAAAAUCCAGCCCUGUUAUUUAAAAUCCGAUUUCCUGGGAGUCUUCACGUGGGACCUUUGGGAUGGAGGAGGUAAGAGGUUGCCUUGAGUUUCAGAAGAGACUUUGGACUUUUGAAGUGUUAAACUCUUAAAAGACUAUGGGGACUUUUGAAGUUGGACUACAUAGUUUUGCAUCAUGAGAUGGCCAUGAACUUAUGUGGUCCAGAGGCCAGCUGUGGAGGCCGUCUGUUUUUCUACACCUAAAAGUCACGACAUGUGAGUACCUGACAGAAGCCUAGCGACAAGCUUCUAAGCAUUCAGCAGAGCACCGACCACGAACUGGACCGUUAGGAACAAAGGAAGAGGAUCGGUGACUGCAGAUUCUCCCCACCCCAGAGCUCUGACUUGGGAAAUUAUAUUUUCUUUUGCAUUUCCAAGUGAAUUGUGAAAAACUGGAUUUGUAUAAUAAACAAAAGCAUGAAGCCUACUGGAGCAAUCUGCUAACCAGAUGAUCACCUGGGUGAUCCGGCUGUUCCAGAACCUUAGGAGAACUACUCAUACUAUACAAUCUCGCUUUACACGUGAAAUGAUAGCCUUUGGAUAUUCAUGGUAUAUUGUAGACUGAAACUUCAGAUAUAUCAACAGGUGCACUUAAACUAACUCCAUGGGACGUAGCAAAAAUGAACAAGGUUGAAGUUGAAUUCUUUGAACACUUGUAUGAGGACAAUUCCCACGGAGACAGUUGUAAAUCCACAGGCCAUGCCCAAGAAGUCCACCAGGCCCACAUUGCUCCACUCCCGGAAGAGGAUGGCUGAAGCCAGUAGGACCAGCGUGGUAAACACAACGUAGUAGAUGGCCCCAAAUACAGAGGAGUCGAAGCACUCCAGGGCCUUGUUGAUGUACCUGAAUUGGACAAUGAUGCUGCAGCCCAGGACAGCCAGGAGCACCAGGCACAGGCAGAGGGCUCUCUGACUGGAUGGAUUGUUGUGCAAGAUGUCUUGGGCUGCCAGCCCAAUGCCCUUGGUGGAAGGCACAGUGAAACUCCCCAGCAAGGAGCAGAUGCUGAUGUAGACCAUGAUGUUGGUGGGCCCGUGGGCUGGUGCGAUCCAGAAGAUCAACAGCAGCAGCAUGAGCAGCACGAUGCACAGGUAGCCCACAAACACUGCAAGACAGAUGGCACACAGUGACCAGGGAGGCCAUCCCCCCAAACACCAUCAAGAGGUCAGAGCUGAACCAGGGCCCGAUCCCUUUCCAGCCACCCCUUCAACCAGGGGGAGAGAGACCUAAGGGAGGACAGGUAACCAACCACUCAAUAGCUCUAACUUAAGUUUAUUAACACUCACUAAGUCCAUUCC